GUUCACUGGCACCAAGGAAAUUCUAGCAACUCACUCUUCUGGUGCAAGAGGAGAGAUUGGGAAACCCAGGUAACAGUGCAUAGAUGAAUUGCCUAAGGUUCUGCUUCUAGUUGGUGUCCUGCGAAUCAGUUCAGCCCAGAGAACUCAUCACUACCAGGCCCAGUUGAAGAGUCUUGCUCCGUUGCUCAGGCUGGCGCGAUCUCGGCUCACUGCAAGCUCCGCCUCCCGGGUUCGCACCACUCUCCUGCCUCAGCCUCCCGAGCAGCUGGGGCUACAGGCGCCGCCACCACGCCCGGCUAAUUUUUUGUAUUUUUAGUAGAGACGGGGUUUCACCGUGUUAGCCAGGAUGGUCUGGAUCUCCUGACCUCGUGAUCCGCCCACCUCGAUCCUCUUAAAUUUUAAGUCCAAACAUGUCACGUUUUUGCUCAAAACCCUCCAAUGGUUUCCCAAAUCAUUCAGCACAAAAACCAAAGUCCCUCUAAUUACUUAUAAUACUCUCCCCCAACCUACCAUCCCUAACCUCAUCACUAAUACUCUUAUACUUAAUCAUCUGCUACAGCCUACAAUUUCCUCUGCUGUUCCUCAAACAUCCCAAAGAUUUUGUCACCUGAAGGUCUUUGCAUGUUCUGCCUCCUCGUCCUGGAAAGCUUUUCCCCAAAUACCAUUUUGUCUCUGCCUUCAGAUUUUUGAUCAAAUGUCACCUUGCUCCCAAAGUUUUCUCUGGCCAUGCUAUUUAAAGUACAAUGCUCUGCUCCACUCCUUGCAAUCUCAAUGCCUCUGUCCUGCUUUAGUUUUCCUUUGUAGCUGUUAUCAUCAACUGACAUAGAGAUUGCUUAUGUAUUUUGUCGUUUUCUGUCUCCUCACAUUAGGAACUAGGGUUCGUGAGAGUGGGGGUUUUGUAGGCUUUGGAAAUUAGUAUUUCUUUAGCAACAAGAACAGUGUAUAUGGCAGACACUCAAUAAAUCCUUGCUUUAAAAAGUAACAGUGUAUCAUGAUAAAAAUACAUAGGCACAUGAAUGAAAUAUAAAUACAAUGGUAUCCAUCUCCAAUAUGUUCUCCAAUGAUCUUUACCUGCUGCUAAAGAAUUAGUGUAGUCCUCCUCUCCAUUGUAUCAGGGUUAAUCUGUG
Molecule: long non-coding RNA, 1127 nt
Filed under: Homo sapiens (human)
Lineage: Eukaryota; Metazoa; Chordata; Mammalia; Primates; Hominidae
Description: HSALNT0319193
Source: RNAcentral